This 16-nucleotide transfer RNA is filed under the name Paepalanthus balansae. Its description in RNAcentral is "partial tRNA-Leu". RNAcentral also lists the same sequence under 1 other name. Lineage: Eukaryota; Viridiplantae; Streptophyta; Magnoliopsida; Poales; Eriocaulaceae. The record is from RNAcentral.
ACUUAACAUCCGUCGA